UAGAUUAUACUUUCAGGGAUCCACAGUUCAUUCCUAGAGAAGAUUCUCUGAUGUGUGGAGCACCCGACGCCAUGAGGAGCCAGAGCAUCCUCUCCUGAGUCUGACGCUGGUUCUAGGUGUUGUUGCUUUUGCAACUGCCCUUUAACACUGACGAUCCUUCUUCUCUUCCUUUGAAAGACGGAGAGGAAGAGGUUGCAGUUUGAGUGG
This 207-nucleotide small nucleolar RNA is filed under the name Sorex araneus (European shrew). Its description in RNAcentral is "Small nucleolar RNA U3 (ENSSARG00000017393.1)". It matches the Rfam family "Small nucleolar RNA U3". From Rfam's summary of the family: Small nucleolar RNAs (snoRNAs) are involved in the processing and modification of rRNA in the nucleolus. Lineage: Eukaryota; Metazoa; Chordata; Mammalia; Eulipotyphla; Soricidae. The record is from RNAcentral.